RNAcentral lists this ribosomal RNA (253 nucleotides) under uncultured bacterium. Its description in RNAcentral is "partial 16S ribosomal RNA". It matches the Rfam family "Bacterial small subunit ribosomal RNA", at positions 524 to 776 of the family's 1533-position model. The record is from RNAcentral.
UACAGAGGUCUCAAGCGUUAUUCGGAAUUAUUGGGCGUAAAGGGCGCGUAGGCGGCCUGGCAAGUGGAAGGUGAAAUCCCUCGGCUUAACCGAGGAACUGCCCUCCAAACUGCUUGGCUUGAGUCCGGGAGAGGUGAGUGGAAUUCCCAGUGUAGCGGUGAAAUGCGUAGAUAUUGGGAGGAACACCAGUGGCGAAGGCGGCUCACUGGACCGGAACUGACGCUGAGGCGCGAAAGCGUGGGGAGCAAACGGG